UUCUCUUUUUGGUUACAAAAGCUAGCUGUUAUUGGCAUUGUGGUUGUUACAGUGUUUCAGUGUAUUGGCAUCACCCGCAAUUUAGGUGGUCAUGUUGUUCACUGUGUAUUUCGACUAAUUUCGUAUAUCUGUCCAUUCACUUGUUGUGGUUGAGGCUAUGUGCGGACAUACUCAUAGGGUCUUGUCGGCAGACCAUGCGGGUCCAUGCCGUAAACUAUGUGAAACCUAAGGUUUGUGUCAUGUGGCUAGCUAUUGAUAGAUAGAAUAGGUAGAUGUUGUACAAUCUACAAAAAUGUGGUUUACAGAAUCAGGCAGAAAAUUUGAUUCUGCCACAAGGACAAGACUUAAAUUUAAAAGAGAGACUACAGACUCGAUUAAUAUGGAUGAAAUUGUGGAUCGUUGGGCAAAAACACGACGUUUGAUAAGUGUUGGAUAAUAUUACUAAUAUAGGAAGCGUUUCUUCAAUGAAAUUUUAGAAUUAAAAACCAGGAACGAUGAGUCGAUGAUUCUACAAACUAUAUAGUUCACUAAUUCUG
Paramuricea clavata is the source of this 536-nucleotide non-coding RNA. NCBI's taxonomy places the organism in Eukaryota, Metazoa, Cnidaria, Anthozoa, Malacalcyonacea, Plexauridae. The record is from the annotation of a GenBank genome assembly.